Molecule: ribosomal RNA, 453 nt
Filed under: uncultured Porphyromonadaceae bacterium
Lineage: Bacteria; Pseudomonadati; Bacteroidota; Bacteroidia; Bacteroidales; Porphyromonadaceae
Description: partial 16S ribosomal RNA
Rfam family: Bacterial small subunit ribosomal RNA
Source: RNAcentral
ACGGAAGGCAGCAGUGAGGAAUAUUGGUCAAUGGGCGGAAGCCUGAACCAGCCAAGUCGCGUGAAGGAUGAAGGUAUUAUGUAUUGUAAACUUCUUUAGCAGCAGAGUAAUAAGGAGGUCGUGACCUCCGAUGCAAGUAUGCUGAAAAUAAGGAUCGGCUAACUCCGUGCCAGCAGCCGCGGUAAUACGGAGGAUCCGAGCGUUAUCCGGAUUUAUUGGGUUUAAAGGGUGCGCAGGCGGCCCUGUAAGUCAGCGGUUAAAUCGGGGGGCUCAACCUCAUCCCGCCGUUGAUACUGCAGGGCUUGAUUGCGGUCGAGGUUGGCGGAAUUCGUCGUGUAGCGGUGAAAUGCAUAGAUAUGACGAAGAACACCGAUUGCGUAGGCAGCUGACCAGACCGUAAAUGACGCUCAUGCACGAAAGUGCGGGGAUCGAACAGGAUUAGAUACCCUGGUA